CCUACGGGAGGCAGCAGUGAGGAAUAUUGGUCAAUGGGCUUACGCCUGAACCAGCCAAGUCGCGUGAGGGAAGACUGCCCUAUGGGUUGUAAACUUCUUUUGUCAGGGAGCAAUUGGGUCCACGCGUGGGCUUAGCGAGAGUACCUGAAGAAAAAGAAUCGGCUAACCCUGCGCCAGCAGCCGCUGUAAUACGGGGGAUGCGAGCGUUACCCGGUUUUAUUGGGUUAAAGGGGUGCGUAGGCGGAAUAUCAAGUGUGCGGUAAAAAUUCGGGGCUCAACCCCGUCGUGCCGUUGAAACUGAUGUUCUUGAGUGGGCGAGAGGUAGGCGGAAGGCGUGGUGUAGCGGUGAAAUGCAUAGAUAUCACGCAGAACUCCGAUUGCGAAGGCAGCAUACCGGCGCCCAACUGACGCUGAAGCACGAAAGCGUGGGUAUCGAACAGGAUUAGAUACCCUGGUAGUC
Molecule: ribosomal RNA, 460 nt
Filed under: uncultured bacterium
Lineage: Bacteria
Description: partial 16S ribosomal RNA
Rfam family: Bacterial small subunit ribosomal RNA
Source: RNAcentral